GGCUAUUCGAGGACUGCCUGCCGACACC
RNAcentral lists this small RNA (28 nucleotides) under Bombyx mori (domestic silkworm). RNAcentral describes it as "ovarian small RNA-5457". The record is from RNAcentral. Lineage: Eukaryota; Metazoa; Arthropoda; Insecta; Lepidoptera; Bombycidae.